RNAcentral lists this ribosomal RNA (468 nucleotides) under uncultured bacterium. RNAcentral describes it as "partial 16S ribosomal RNA". It matches the Rfam family "Bacterial small subunit ribosomal RNA", at positions 28 to 507 of the family's 1533-position model. The record is from RNAcentral.
GACGAACGCUGGCGGCGUGCUUAACACAUGCAAGUCGAACGGAAAGGCCCUGCUUUUGUGGGGUGCUCGAGUGGCGAACGGGUGAGUAACACGUGAGUAACCUGCCCUUGACUUUGGGAUAACUUCAGGAAACUGGGGCUACUACCGGAUAGGAGCUCCUGCUGCAUGGUGGGGGUUGGAACGUUUCGGCGGUUGGGGAUGGACUCGCGGUUUAUCAGCUUGUUGGUGGGGUAGUGGCUUACCAAGGCUUUGACGGGUAGCCGGCAUGAGAGGGUGACCGGCCACAAUGGGACUGAGGUACGGCCCAGACUCCUACGUUGGGCAGCAGUGGAGAAUAUUAGACAAUGAGCGGAAGCCUAAUGCAGCAACGCCGCGUGCGGGAUGACGGCCUUCGGGUUGUAAACCGCUUUCGCCUGUGACGAGGCGUGAGUGACGGUAAUGGGUAAAGAAGCACCGGCUAACUACGUG